ACAUAAUGAGCACAAGAGUUAGAGCUUAAGAAUUUGAUAAAAUAGAACUACUUGUUUGGCUGUGAUGCACCAUGCAGACCACUGAAGUAUGCCUGAGGAUUGCUCUCAAAUACUCCUCUUGAUAUGUAACUUCCAUCCCCACCAGGGGCCUUCAUAUAUGAACCACCGCCGCCGCUUGAAUUUCCACCACCACUACCUUUUCCACAGCCGCCUCCCUUGCCACCACCGCCGCCUCCCUUGCCACCACCUCCGCCACCUUUGCCACCCAUCUUUCAAAUGAUCACUUCCUAAAGUUUCUGAUAGCAGGGUAGAGAAGAUUUUUAAUAUCUCGGCAAUGUGAAAUGCAAUCUCAUUUGAGUAGCUAUUUAUAGAAGAGAAAAAUGGAAAGCUCUGUUCAAAGGAAUUAAUGUUUUCUUUGACGCAGUUAACGAUAGUGUUG
Molecule: long non-coding RNA, 439 nt
Filed under: Vigna radiata
Lineage: Eukaryota; Viridiplantae; Streptophyta; Magnoliopsida; Fabales; Fabaceae
Description: long non-coding RNA (VRAD_LNC012471)
Source: RNAcentral